Long non-coding RNA from Gasterosteus aculeatus aculeatus (three-spined stickleback), 2042 nucleotides. NCBI's taxonomy places the organism in Eukaryota, Metazoa, Chordata, Actinopteri, Perciformes, Gasterosteidae. The record is from Ensembl.
CUUUACGAGGAGCACAUGAACGCAGCACCUGCAAAAGCACCGUGGUCCGUCCUGCUAAUUAGGAACACCUGGCACCGCGAGGAGGUCGAGGACCAAACGACACCAGCCAGACAUCCCCGGAGAACUGGCGUUUGAAGUCAUCUUAAGGAAGAUAUGAAGACGGACCCCCCCACCCCUCCAAAAAAGAAGAGAAAAAAACGGCUCCUCAAUCGCAUGUAAGUACCUUGGUGUGCAAGGGACCCAAACAGCUUCCCUAUGAUGCGCAGAUGCCCACACAACGAAGAAGAUGAAGGUUGAAUUUCAAAAAGGUUAGCCCCCGUGUUGGUGAAAGUAUCGGAAUUUGAGUCGGACUGCAGUGAACUGUCAGUGGGGAAAGGCUCCUCUGCAUCGAGAACUGUGCAGCCACUGAAGGGGAAGACCAAUAACGCAGCAGUUUAAGCCUCAGGCUAGACGGAGCAAGUUCAACCAUCACGUCUGGGGGCGCAACAGGAAAGCAACGUUUUUGAGACUGCAGUCCAGCUUUGGAAACAGAUGGUCUCAAGAGAGUGAGCACUUGUCAGUCUCAGUGUGUGGAAAUACCAGGUUCCACCAGAAUGGAGCAGUAAUGCCAUAUUGCACAACCUUGUACAGAAGAUCUAUUGGUACUUCCUAGUUGGAUCAAUGUAGUGGCAAUAAUGGAUCUAUGGGUUGGAUCCUCUCUUAGAUGAUUUUCCUUUAUUAUUGCCACAUUGUUGAAAUGUGCUACACAAAUAAACUUGAUUUUUAGUGAUAUGUUAAGCAAUUUGCUGUUUUUCUUACUUGAUUUGUACAUAGUACUGUGAUAAUCCGUGUUUGUAUGUUAUAUAUGCCACAAAGGAGUGAUCAAAUCAUACCAGUCACAUUUCAAAAGGGCCAGUCGGACAUUAACAGUUCUCCUUUACAGCUAUUGGACUGAAAUGUAAAAUGAACUGCCCUACCAGAAAGUGCUAAUUGGCCAGCUCUACUUUAACACCCCCCCCCCCCUAAUAAGAAUGAUGGACUCUAAGUGGGGAGCAGUCAGACCCUGAACAAAUAAGAGUUUGUAGCUAUGAAUGCUGUGUGUCUAAUGGGGGGGGUGGGGGGGGGCACAGAUUGCUAGCCUACCCCUUACCUGGCUCUCAUACGUGGUGCAAGACAUCGUCACCUACGUUGCCUACGACGAUUGUCGUCUUGUAUCCUGACACGAGCUACAUGAAGACUCUAUUUAUUCUCCAAACCCCCUGAUUUUUAUACAUGUAGUUUUUAAUUCCAACAGACUCCACCCAAUCUUUGCACAGCUCUCUCUGCAGCCAGAAAAGAACGGCAUAACGAUGUGUUUUAGUAAUGCUCCUCCUGAAACAAUUGCCAAUUGCUACAGUUGCCAGGUGCCACCUGUGCUCAAUCUAAAUUCUGAUUAUUCUCUGUAUAGCAGCUAAUGCUGAUAGUGAUAAUUUGUAUUACCAAAGAAAUGUAUAAUGCAUAAUAUAAAAACUGUUUUCUCAAAUUCUGGUCUAAAAGGAUAUGUAUGCAGGUACACAUCAGUGUAUUUGCCAAAGGAUAGACUAAGGAGGAUCCGCAGGUGGGCUCAAUAAAAGCAUAUUAUUGACCACAAAAAAAAACAAUCAAAUUAAAGGAAAUGACACCUUUUCAGAAAGCCAGUGAGGGGUCUGUCAGCCUGAUGGAAUCCUCAUUUCUCUGCACCAUUUGGCAGCAAGUUGCACCUCUCUCUCCCUCGUUCUGCCUUAAUGGCCAUGCUGACAGUGACAUGAUAUUCCACAUAAAAGGAGCCAAGAGGAGCGAGACGGGGUGCAAAACCUCCAUUAACGUGUUUAGAAGUUGUGUAGCUUUAAGGCCUUGUCGGGGUUGGCCAUUAGGGCCAUGCCUCUUUGGCACUUCUUAACUUUGUGCUAAUGUAGUUAAGACGAUUUUGUUUAGUUUAAGUGCUCCGUGCAUGUUGCCAUGAAGCGUUUUACAAGAACAAGUUUUGUGAAGAAAUGUGUUGCGUCCAGAUUUAGAAGAUGAAAAUUGUUGUUAUGAUUAUGAAU